UACAUCCAAAUGGAUAGCAGCAUUUCUCUGACUGCGUUCAAACCAAAUGCUGUAAAGCGUUUUGAGCGAUAAACGCCCAUUCACUUUCUAUAAGACAUGAGCGAUAAAGCAAUAGGAGCGAUACAUCGCUUGAGCUUAGGCUGUAAAGCUGUAAAUGAGAGUUGAAAACGGCUCACUUCUAUGCAAAUUAGCUUGUAGCAUUUCGGCAGUAAACAUAGGGACUCUCUAAAUCGACGCCACUUCGACCUGGGCGGGACUUUACGUACUACGUCACUCGCUAUGGGUCACUCGCUGGGAGUGCAUGUGUGCGCGUAGCCGUUUGUCUCAGGGAUCUGUGCACGAACGCGAUGGGGGAUCCACCCUGGGUACCGUCGUAUUUUAAAAUAAUAAAUACAAGCAAUGGAUACAUUUCUGGAUUUGUCCAGACUCAAAAAGAAUUGGAGAGUCUGCUGGAGGUCCACUCAAGGGCCACACUGACAUCGUUUGUCAAAUGGUCUGAACACAUAAAAGAUGGCACCAAAGAGAGGCAUCUAUGGCAGGUGGAGGAUUUCAAUGAAGACACCCCUCUAUGUGUGAAGAAAAGAAUGGUCCUUGCUUGUCAGCAUGGCAAAGCUCGACAGAAAAAAGAAAAGGAGAAACGUUCAGCAGAGCAUGUAUACACAAAAAAACGUUUUCAUGUCCAAAAUGGGAAGAAGUUGGACUGCCCAGCUAAACUUUUCAUUCGGCAUGUGCUGAGAUAUGACUCAUUCAGUGUGAGAGGGGAUGCCACAAAAUCCCAUAAAGAAGACGCUAUGAGAAAUCUUAAGAUAGCACUUCAAAACUCAGAAAACCCACCAACCUCUACAUUCAUUCAUCUAAAAAUUCCUCUAUUGGAAGUUCACAAUCAUACAAUUGGAGCAGGAUCCUGUUUUUCAAGACCGAUCCAUCCAAAACUAAAAAAUCAAAUUCAGGUGAUGGUCGGACAAGGGAUAACUAAUAUAGCUUUCGUGAAGAGAGCCUUGAAGCAGUAUGUGCUAAAUGACUUGUGUGGAGAGGAGAUCCUGGAUGGAGGAGGGGAGAGGAUGCUAGAUGGAGGAGGAGGGGAGAGGAUGCUAGAUGGAGGAGGAGGAGAGAGGAUGCUAGAUGGAGGAG
Molecule: long non-coding RNA, 1131 nt
Organism: Gadus morhua (Atlantic cod)
Lineage: Eukaryota; Metazoa; Chordata; Actinopteri; Gadiformes; Gadidae
Exons: 5
Source: RefSeq, a predicted model, not a curated record